This 476-nucleotide long non-coding RNA is filed under the name Homo sapiens (human). Its description in RNAcentral is "non-protein coding lnc-CXorf36-2:1". The record is from RNAcentral. Lineage: Eukaryota; Metazoa; Chordata; Mammalia; Primates; Hominidae.
AAAAGCCAAAAAUUCAUGAUCUAAGCUUUUAUCUCAAAAAGCUAGAAAAAGACCAUCAAAUAAAAUCCAAGGGAAAUAGAAGGAAGUAAAAAUAAAGACACCAGGAAAAUGUCGUGAAAUAAAAAAUAGAAUAGAAAACAUCAAAAUAGCCAAAAGUGAUAUCUGAAAAGUUUAACAAAAUUAAUAACAUGCCAGUAAAACUGUUUGAGAGGAAACACAUUACUAAUAUUGAAAAUAAAGAAGUAAACAUUAACUAUAGAUCUUACUAAUGCUAAAAGAAAACUUAAUACUAAUAUAUUUGACACUUCAGUGAAUAGUAAAUUCCUUAAAAUACACAAUGUACCCAAACUGACACUAAAAAUGUAAGAAAAUUUGAGUAGUCUUAUAUUUGUUAAAACAAUUGAAUCCACUAGUGAAAGACUUCCCAUAAAGAAAACUCUAGACUCAAGUGGCUUCACUGGUGGAUUGUGCCAAAU